RNAcentral lists this ribosomal RNA (253 nucleotides) under uncultured bacterium. RNAcentral's name for it is "partial 16S ribosomal RNA". It matches the Rfam family "Bacterial small subunit ribosomal RNA", at positions 524 to 776 of the family's 1533-position model. The record is from RNAcentral.
UACGGAGGGUGCGAGCGUUGUCCGGAAUCACUGGGCGUAAAGGGCGCGUAGGUGGCGCGAGGAGUCAACGGUGAAAGCUCGGCGCUCAACGCCGAGUCGGCCGUCGAUACUCUCGUGCUCGAGCACUGUAGAGGCAGAUGGAAUUCCGGGUGUAGCGGUGGAAUGCGUAGAGAUCCGGAAGAACACCGGUGGCGAAGGCGGUCUGCUGGGCAGUUGCUGACACUGAGGCGCGACAGCGUGGGGAGCAAACAGG